Molecule: ribosomal RNA, 2926 nt
Filed under: Proteus vulgaris
Lineage: Bacteria; Pseudomonadati; Pseudomonadota; Gammaproteobacteria; Enterobacterales; Morganellaceae
Description: bacterial LSU rRNA
Rfam family: Bacterial large subunit ribosomal RNA
Source: RNAcentral
GGGUUGUGAGGUUAAGCGAAUAAGCGUACACGGUGGAUGCCUAGGCAAUCAGAGGCGAUGAAGGACGUGCUAAUCUGCGAUAAGCGUCGGUAAGGUGAUAUGAACCGUUAUACCCGACGAUUUCCGAAUGGGGAAACCCAAUAUCCAAUGGAUAUUAUCAUGACGUGAAUACAUAGCGUCAUGAAGCGAACCGGGAGAACUGAAACAUCUCAGUACCCGAGGAAAAGAAAUCAACCGAGAUUCCCCUAGUAGCGGCGAGCGAACGGGGAACAGCCCAGAGUCUUAAUCAAUAGCAGCAUCAGGAGAACGGUCUGGAAAGUCCGGCAGUAAAGGGUGAUAGCCCCGUAUCCGAAGAUGCUGUUAUUGUGAACUCGACGAGUAGGGCGGGACACGUGUUAUCCUGUCUGAAUAUGGGGGACCAUCCUCCAAGGCUAAAUACUCCUGAUUGACCGAUAGUGAACCAGUACCGUGAGGGAAAGGCGAAAAGAACCCGGCGAGGGGAGUGAAAAAGAACCUGAAACCGUGUACGUACAAGCAGUAGGAGCCUCUUUAUGGGGUGACUGCGUACCUUUUGUAUAAUGGGUCAGCGACUUAUAUUCUGUAGCAAGGUUAACCGUAUAGGGGAGCCGUAGGGAAACCGAGUCUUAACUGGGCGAAUGAGUUGCAGGGUAUAGACCCGAAACCCGGUGAUCUAUCCAUGGGCAGGUUGAAGGUUGGGUAACACUAACUGGAGGACCGAACCGACUAAUGUUGAAAAAUUAGCGGAUGACUUGUGGAUGGGGGUGAAAGGCCAAUCAAACCGGGAGAUAGCUGGUUCUCCCCGAAAGCUAUUUAGGUAGCGCCUCGUGAACUCAUCUUCGGGGUAGAGCACUGUUUCGACUAGGGGGUCAUCCCGACUUACCAACUCGAUGCAAACUGCGAAUACCGAAGAAUGUUAUCACGGGAGACACACGGCGGGUGCUAACGUCCGUCGUGAAGAGGGAAACAACCCAGACCGCCAGCUAAGGUCCCAAAGUCAUGGUUAAGUGGGAAACGAAGUGGGAAGGCUCAGACAGCCAGGAUGUUGGCUUAGAAGCAGCCAUCAUUUAAAGAAAGCGUAAUAGCUCACUGGUCGAGUCGGCCCGCGCGGAAGAUGUAACGGGGCUAAACCAUGCACCGAAGCUGCGGCAGCGACACUAUGUGUUGUUGGGUAGGGGAGCGUUCUGUAAGCCUGCGAAGGUGUACUGUGAGGUAUGCUGGAGGUAUCAGAAGUGCGAAUGCUGACAUAAGUAACGAUAAUGCGGGUGAAAAACCCGCACGCCGGAAGACCAAGGGUUCCUGUCCAACGUUAAUCGGGGCAGGGUGAGUCGACCCCUAAGGCGAGGCUGAAAAGCGUAGUCGAUGGGAAACGGGUUAAUAUUCCCGUACUGGUGGUAACUGCGAUGGGGGAACGGAGAAGGCUAGGUUGUCCGGGCGACGGUCGUCCCGGUUCAAGCAUGUAGGCAGAGUGAUUAGGCAAAUCCGGUCACUUAAUGCUGAGGUGUGAUGACGAACCACUAAGGUGGUGAAGCAAUUGAUGCCCUGCUUCCAGGAAAAGCCUCUAAGCUUCAGGUUACCAACAAUCGUACCCCAAACCGACACAGGUGGUCAGGUAGAGAAUACUCAGGCGCUUGAGAGAACUCGGGUGAAGGAACUAGGCAAAAUGGUGCCGUAACUUCGGGAGAAGGCACGCUGGCGGUAAGUGAAGUCCCUCGCGGACGGAGCCGAAGCCAGUCGAAGAUACCAGCUGGCUGCAACUGUUUAUUAAAAACACAGCACUGUGCAAACACGAAAGUGGACGUAUACGGUGUGACGCCUGCCCGGUGCUGGAAGGUUAAUUGAUGGGGUUAUCCUUAGGGAGAAGCUCUUGAUCGAAGCCCCAGUAAACGGCGGCCGUAACUAUAACGGUCCUAAGGUAGCGAAAUUCCUUGUCGGGUAAGUUCCGACCUGCACGAAUGGCGUAAUGAUGGCCAGGCUGUCUCCACCCGAGACUCAGUGAAAUUGAACUCGCUGUGAAGAUGCAGUGUACCCGCGGCAAGACGGAAAGACCCCGUGAACCUUUACUAUAGCUUGACACUGAACAUUGAGCCUUGAUGUGUAGGAUAGGUGGGAGACUAUGAAGUGUGGACGCCAGUCUGCAUGGAGUCAACCUUGAAAUACCACCCUUUAACGUUUGAUGUUCUAACCUAGGCCCGUAAUCCGGGUCGGGGACCGUGUCUGGUGGGUAGUUUGACUGGGGCGGUCUCCUCCUAAAGAGUAACGGAGGAGCACGAAGGUUGGCUAAGCAUGGUCGGACAUCAUGCGGUUAGUGCAAAGGCAUAAGCCAGCUUGACUGUGAGAGUGACGGCUCGAGCAGGUACGAAAGUAGGUCUUAGUGAUCCGGUGGUUCUGAAUGGAAGGGCCAUCGCUCAACGGAUAAAAGGUACUCCGGGGAUAACAGGCUGAUACCGCCCAAGAGUUCAUAUCGACGGCGGUGUUUGGCACCUCGAUGUCGGCUCAUCACAUCCUGGGGCUGAAGUAGGUCCCAAGGGUAUGGCUGUUCGCCAUUUAAAGUGGUACGCGAGCUGGGUUUAGAACGUCGUGAGACAGUUCGGUCCCUAUCUGCCGUGGGCGUUGGAAGAUUGAGAGGGGUUGCUCCUAGUACGAGAGGACCGGAGUGAACGCACCACUGGUGUUCGGGUUGUCAUGCCAAUGGCAUUGCCCGGUAGCUAAGUGCGGAAGAGAUAACCGCUGAAAGCAUCUAAGCGGGAAACUUGCCUCGAGAUGAGUCUUCCCUGUCACCUUGAGUGACCUAAAGGAACGUUUAAGACUAAGACGUUGAUAGGCUGGGUGUGUAAGCGUAGCGAUACGUUGAGCUAACCAGUACUAAUGAACCGUGAGGCUUAACCUGACAACACCGAAGGUGUUU